Dunckerocampus dactyliophorus (ringed pipefish) is the source of this 3367-nucleotide long non-coding RNA. RefSeq lists it as uncharacterized. The transcript is spliced from 11 exons. The record is from RefSeq and is a predicted model, not a curated record. NCBI's taxonomy places the organism in Eukaryota, Metazoa, Chordata, Actinopteri, Syngnathiformes, Syngnathidae.
UCACUAGCUCUGAACUGAGUAUAAAAUAAAGUUAUACGCUGUGCAUACACUUUCAUAAAAUGGAUGGAUGUUAUUUAGUGAACACAAUGAAUAUAUACAGUAUAUAUAAAUGGGUAAAAAUCCAAUAUGCUGCAGAAAUGAGACCUACAUGCAGAUGUCAAUCAAAACCUGAGCAGCAGUAUGAAAGAAACUUAAUCUAAAAGUACUUGUAUGAAUUUUUAACUGCAAAUAUUUACACACUGCGACAUUUAUUUCAGUAACGGCACUGUUAAUACAUUUAAUAGACUCUAAUCUAAAUCAUCAUCAUCACUGACUAGUCAUUAAUUCAACUAAUCACAAAGAGAAACAAAUUAGUUUAAAGGUACACAGCAAAUUGAGGAGUGUUAAUUUUUUGGUGUUGAUGAGAAUCUUGAAGUUGGAGUGUCAAUCUUACACUAUUUGGAGUUGAUCUAACACUGCAUUUUCUUAAAAAUGUUAAAUUUAACACUGGAUCAUGAAAGUGUUGUAGUUAAAAUGGAGUGUUGAAAAUGUUCAAAUCUUGUUAGUGUCACAAUAAAGACAUUCAACACUUCCACACUCCAUUUAACGCCUAACAGUGUUCACGUGUCUUAAGCUCCGCCCACGGACAUUUCAUUUAGACUCCACCCCUCACUUCACGUUGCUGAAAUGAAAAGCAGAUGGAAGAAGUUGACUGUUAUGAAUCAUUUUGCAUCAGUAGUGUUGCUGUGAGCUGAAUCGGCACUGCCUGUGCAACAUUUGGCAAAAAAACCUUUGCUUGAGUCUUACAUGAAUGUGAGGUGGAUGGAGAUGUCUUUGAUGAGCUUGUCAGGUCAGGUGUUUUGACUUUCAAGGUCAUUUUAUCAGUGACAGGUAAGGAUGUGAAAACAUUUGAAAAUGCAUGAGGUUGUUUAGAUAUCACAGGCAGUGUGGACCCCAUCAGGUACCUUGGUUUUGUCCAAAUGAGAUAUUGUUGUCAUGAUCUUUGAGACCUCAAAAUGUAUUUUUGGUCUCACUUUACAAUAAGGUACACAAAAAUACAGUAGUUACUGAGGAACUAAUUACUAAAGCACAAAUUUACAAUAGUAGAGGAUCUAAUGAACUAAAAAGGAACCAAUGAGCAGAGUAGUUACUGAGUAGUUACUGAGGAACUAAAACACAUACAUUUAGAGUAGUUACUAAUGAACUAAUGAAGAACUAAUGAGUAGUGGAUAGGGUUAGAUAGGUUUGUUCCUCAUCCUGCACGACUGUAAUUUUGUGUACCUUAUUGUAAAGUGAGACAGUAUUUUCAUUUGAUAUUCAAUUUUUAGCUCCUUUUCCAUAGGUUGAAAUUCCCCCAAAUUAUUUUUUUUGUUUUAGUAGUAAUUAGUGUUUUGUACUGUUUUGUAGAGUAAGAGAUUCAUUUGACUGGAGAUGAAGCAUCCUCCUCUGUACAGACUCCACUAUCCCCAGCUUCACCCCAGUUAUCGCCAGUUGGUGGCGAUAACGGGUUCGACAAUUUAUCCUUCAGCCCACAAGAAAGAGGAACCCAACAGAACCAGUGGAUCAGGAUGAAUCAAGACAGAAAGUCGGUGGUGUUUUGAGGCCCAAUCCGAAAGGAGGGUUCCGCCAUCAUGUGUGAUGACAAAUUACACCCUGAGAAUUGUGACUUGACUUGAUUUCCAUACCUCAAAGGUCCGUUCUCCAAACCCGGAUAUAAUGCUUACAUUAGCGGCAGUGGCUCAGGAGGUAGAGCAGGUCGUCCAGAAAUCGUAAGUUGUUCCAAGACUUUCUUCAGGAUGGUCCAAAAACCAGAGGAGAAUAUCUGUUAACUGGUCAACAGCUGCUUGGUGAGGAGUGCAAGGAGGCGCUAUCUACAGUAAGACAUUCAGCCGAUGAAUCCAUGGUCAAAGAAGAUGAGAGCAACUUUCCAGUAUCGACAGAAUAUGAUCCAAGCACAAGAUGUAUCAUCAUCUGUCCUCAAUGUGUUCACUCGCUUCCUUGAUGUUCCUGGAUUGAUGAACCAGGAUUUCUCAAUGAUGUUUGCUGAUGAAGUAUCUCAGAGGUUCCUGGCUAAGUGGUCAACUGUCUUCAAACCAAAAGUCAUUGCAGAUUGCAAGACUCUCCCGCAAAAGCAGAACAUUGAUGAGUUGCUGUCAGGAACUGAACCCCAACCUGAUGACAGCUGUGGCUGGGGCAGUGAUGCAUCCUCCGUCCUUCUACUCCUGCAUCUGCUCCCUCCGACUUCUAGAGGCCAGGAAAAAAACAGCAAAGAUCAGUUUGGCUUAAGCAGCCAACCAUCUUCUCAGACAUCUUAAGGAAGGAGCCAGUGUGACCCCCUUCCAAGACUGUUGACACAAGACAACCAUUUCUCCUCUGCAUCAGUGAGCAAAGGUGACAUCCAGAGGUUCUACAUUAUUGACCAAAAGCCGGUUCCAUGCAAGGCACAUACAUUUAUUGCAGCUUUUGAUGAACUGUUCAAAGCUCACUAUGUCUUCAGUCUCUCGUAUGGUUAAAACUGGAUAAGAGCAAACAUUUGGGUCUGAAUGCUGCCCAGUCAUGGAGUCUUCUAUGGAACACUCCACUUAUAUUUGGUGAUGUCAUUGAAAGGAAGAAUGAUCACUGGAACUUCCUCCUCCUUUUGAUGCAGAUUAUCAACAUAGUGUUCUCCUACACCAUAACUGAUGGAAUGAUCCUUUACUUACAACAUCUGGUAAGUGACCACCACACUCGGUACAAAGCAUUGCUUCCUGGUAAGAAGUUGGUUCCCAAGCACCGCUUGGUGAUACACUAUCCAAGAUGCAUACAAAACAUUGGCCCCCUUAUCCAUACGUGGUGCAUGUGUUUUGAAGCCAAACACAAUUCUUUCAAAAGGUGUGGUUAAAAAUUGUAAAAAUCUCACAAAGUCGUUUGUCGUGGCCUUUCACUAUGAAAAUGAUAAGUUUAGAAGAUUUGCAUUUGGCCCUACAACAUCAAAAACAAUCUGCAACUUGAAAGGCGGGGAGGAUAGUGGUCAGGCAUGAUGUCUGCAAGCAUCUUCCAAGUGUGUCAAGUACCAACUGGGUGAGAAGCUACAGUAUAGAGUACCAAGUUGGUGUGUUCAUAUGUACUGGGUGUAGCUUUGAUCUACCUGUGUUCAAGAAGAUCUGGGAUAUAUUAAUACACAAAGAAUGUGCUUUCAUAAUCACCUGUAAUGUAGAAAGGAUGUACUAUGACCAAAUGCUUGAGUUUUCUGUCAUGUUUAAAUGAACUGACUCAUUUCAGACCAUUUGACAAGCAGUGCUCUAAUGACAAGUGUCAAGGAGCAUACAUACUGUAGUGCCCUGCUGUUAUUUAAGCUACUGUCUGUUGGAAAUGAAAUGUUUUUGAAUAAAAUGUAUGAAGCCGUCAA